RNAcentral lists this unclassified non-coding RNA (247 nucleotides) under air metagenome. Its description in RNAcentral is "partial contains small subunit ribosomal RNA, internal transcribed spacer 1, and 5.8S ribosomal RNA". The stretch from base 1 to 46 matches the Rfam family "Eukaryotic small subunit ribosomal RNA", at positions 1786 to 1831 of the family's 1831-position model. The record is from RNAcentral.
AAGUCAUAACAAGGUUUCCGUAGGUGAACCUGCAGAAGGAUCAUUAAUGAAUUACAGAGAGUUGAUGCUGGCAGUCUGUGACUGCAUGUGCUUGCUCUCCUAAUCCAAUUUACACCUGUGCACUUAACUUUGAAGGUAGGGUAAAGCCUGCCUUCGAAAUCUUUAAACUCUUGUUUAUAAUAAUGAAUGUUUAUCUGCCGCAAGGUGAAAUUAAAUACAACUUUUAACAACGGAUCUCUUGGCUCUC